UUUUGUGCUCUCUAUACUUCUG
Molecule: non-coding RNA, 22 nt
Filed under: Arabidopsis thaliana (thale cress)
Lineage: Eukaryota; Viridiplantae; Streptophyta; Magnoliopsida; Brassicales; Brassicaceae
Source: RNAcentral